This 378-nucleotide ribosomal RNA is filed under the name Clostridioides difficile. Its description in RNAcentral is "bacterial LSU rRNA". It matches the Rfam family "Bacterial large subunit ribosomal RNA", at positions 2185 to 2561 of the family's 2925-position model. Lineage: Bacteria; Bacillati; Bacillota; Clostridia; Peptostreptococcales; Peptostreptococcaceae. The record is from RNAcentral.
GCCAUCCUUGGGAUACCACCCUUGUAGUACUGGGACUCUAACCAUAGGCCAUGAAUCUGGUCUUGGGACACUGUCAGGUGGGCGGUUUGACGGGGGCGGGAGCCUCCCAAAAGGUAACGGAGGCGCUGAAAGGUUCUCUCAGUACGGUCGGAAAUCGUACGUAGAGUGUAAAGGCAAAAGAGAGCUUGAGUGCAAGACAUACAGGUCGGGCAAGGAUGAAAAGCGGACGUAGUGAGCCGGUGGUUCGGCGUGGAAGGGCCAUCGCUCAACGGAUAAAAGCUACCCUGGGGAUAACAGGCUUAUCUCCCCCAAGAGUCCACAUCGACGGGGAGGUUUGGCACCUCGAUGUCGGCUCAUCACAUCCUGGGGCUGUAGUAG